Long non-coding RNA from Macrobrachium nipponense, 836 nucleotides. RefSeq lists it as uncharacterized. Lineage: Eukaryota; Metazoa; Arthropoda; Malacostraca; Decapoda; Palaemonidae. The record is from RefSeq and is a predicted model, not a curated record. The transcript is spliced from 2 exons.
GGGGUACAGUUUGCUCUGCUCUCCAGGAUCGACUUCAUUUGACUUAACCCUUUCUUGGGAUCCCAAGCCAUUGAGGAAUCUCGUUCAUCAUGAAGACUGCUGUCGCAAUCCUGAUCCUGUGCAUCGUGAUGCUGGGACUGUGCCUUGCAUAUCCCGAUCCGGAGGCUGAAGCCAGCGGCUUCCACGGAGGCAGAAGGUACUAUAAUAAUCCUAGUGUUUUGAUCCACCAACACCAAGGGGGUCACCGGCCCCACUACCAUCACUGGGGCCACACGCACUUCCUUGACCAGAGGCAUGCGCACGUUGGCCACCACUGAGUUCUCCUCUGGACCUUGGAGCAGCCCAGCAUUGGUGAUUGACUUUGGAGGAGUGGAGUGAGAGCAUGUCCACUGAGAGCAGUAAUCGAGAUGAGAUCCAUCUGGUUGUUGCAAAAUGAACUAGAACUAAGGUAUGUCAUCUGGUGGUUAAAUGACGAACUAGAACUAAGAUAUGCCGUCUGGUGGUUGCAAACUAACUAGAAUUAAGGUAUCCCAUAUGGUCAUUGGAAACUAAACUAGAGCUUAGAGAUACCAUCUGGUGGCUGCAAAACGAACUAGAACCUUAAAGAGAUGCCAUCUGCUGGUUGCACAACGAACUAGAACCUUAAAAAGAUACUAUUUGGUGGUUGCACAACGAACAAGAACUGAGAGAUGCCAUCUGGUGAUUAAAAACUGAACAUGCCAGUUCGUCAGGAGAAAUUUUAACCUGUUGCAAUGAUUUCCAAGACAUAAGCCUCCAUUUCAUGAUUGUUACCUAACUGUUGCUGUUGCUUGUUAUGUUAAUAAAACGAAAUUAAA